AAGUCGUAACAAGGUUUCCGUAGGUGAACCUGCGGAAGGAUCAUUAUAGUUAUGGUUCGGAGGGAGGGGUUUUGGAUGCUGGCUCCCCCGAGAAGGGGGGGUAUCGUGCGCGCCCCUCCUUUCCUCAACACACACCUGUGCACAUCGGCGAGCGCCUCCCAUCUGGAGCCGUCCUGGCGUCGAAUCCCCUCCUCCCGGAGGGGAGGAGCCUUGACCGGGGCGCUCGACGCGUUCCUUUCUUUCACAUCCACGCCUGUCACGAUGCAUGUCUUUGAAUUGCUCUACGGAGCAAAAAGUUGA
Molecule: unclassified non-coding RNA, 300 nt
Filed under: Turbinellus sp.
Lineage: Eukaryota; Fungi; Basidiomycota; Agaricomycetes; Gomphales; Gomphaceae
Description: partial contains small subunit ribosomal RNA and internal transcribed spacer 1
Rfam family: Eukaryotic small subunit ribosomal RNA (bases 1-46)
Source: RNAcentral